RNAcentral lists this ribosomal RNA (253 nucleotides) under uncultured bacterium. Its description in RNAcentral is "partial 16S ribosomal RNA". It matches the Rfam family "Bacterial small subunit ribosomal RNA", at positions 524 to 776 of the family's 1533-position model. The record is from RNAcentral.
UACGGAGGGUGCAAGCGUUGUCCGGAUUUAUUGGGUUUAAAGGGUGCGUAGGUGGUUUAGUAAGUCUGGUAUGAAAGCUGGUCGCUUAACGAUCAGAUGUGGCUGGAAACUGGUAAACUUGAAUGCGUUGGCGGUAGCCGGAACGGGUCAUGUAGCGGUGAAAUGCAUAGAUAUGACCCAGAACACCGAUUGCGAAGGCAGGCUACUACGACGUGAUUGACACUGAGGCACGAGAGCAUGGGUAGCGAACAGG